Molecule: non-coding RNA, 75 nt
Organism: Galeopterus variegatus (Sunda flying lemur)
Lineage: Eukaryota; Metazoa; Chordata; Mammalia; Dermoptera; Cynocephalidae
Source: the annotation of a RefSeq genome assembly
GGCUGGUUAGCUCAGUUGGUUAGAGCAUGGUGUUGGUAACACCAAGGUCAAGGGUUCGUAUCCCCAUCCCAGCCA